RNAcentral lists this ribosomal RNA (168 nucleotides) under Pseudogobius taijiangensis (Taijiang fat-nose goby). Its description in RNAcentral is "partial 12S small subunit ribosomal RNA". Lineage: Eukaryota; Metazoa; Chordata; Actinopteri; Gobiiformes; Gobiidae. The record is from RNAcentral.
CACCGCGGUUAUACGAGAGGCCCGAGUUGACAAACACCGGCGUAAAAUGUGGUUAAUAUACAGUAUUACUAAAGUCAAACACCUUCAAAACUGUUAUACGCACUUGAAGGCAGGAGGCCCUACCACGAAAGUGACUUUAAAAACUAUUAUCCCACGAAAGCUAGGAGA